Molecule: long non-coding RNA, 2889 nt
Organism: Fukomys damarensis (Damara mole-rat)
Lineage: Eukaryota; Metazoa; Chordata; Mammalia; Rodentia; Bathyergidae
Source: Ensembl
CUAGGAAAAUCGCUGAAGAGGGAGGAGCUUGAAUCUGGCAGGCAUUCAGAAGAGGAUGCAACACAGUUUCCAGGUUGUACCUGGUUCCCUAUGUGUACUUUUCUAGGAAAUAAGGAAGAUAUUGGCAGAAAAGCCUCAGGCGGGAGCCAGCAGCUGCACAGGGAGGCCCAGGCACCAGAACCUAGACACUUCCAAGAAGAGUCCUAAGGCCACCUUCAAAUGAGAGCCCCAGGGGCUGGGCUGUAGCACAGUGAGUCUUUGAAGUUUGUUGCAAGUUCCUGACAUUCUUCCCCAACAGGUUUUCAUCUGUGAGUUAUUUCCAGGAGGCUGAAGUCUGGGUUCACUGCACACACUUUGAGUUGAGGACAAGGAAAGGCUCUUCCCUUCCACACAUCCCCAGAGCAGAUGCAAAUCAGCGAGGCACAGCCAUCAGGAAUGUGGGGCACCCGGGAGCCCAGUGGGCCCAAUGCAGGAGGCAGGUGGGGCAGGAGAGGACCGGACACUGUCGUUGGCCAGCAGUCAGCAAGCUCCUAACUCCUGACACACAGAGAACACAAGCAGUGCACGCUCACACGCAGCUCUCCAUGGCCCUUAUCUGCUCUGUACUCCGCCCCAAAGACGAUGCUGAUCUUUUUCCAGGUGAGCAGAAGUCUGCAGAGCCACAACUGCAGAGAGCAGACUACGGCAGACCGGGCACAGCUACAGUUUCAGCCAGAGUUGAACAAGGGGUCACUGUGCACCACCGGCUGGUUCCGGGGCACCAGCAGGAGCAGUGUACUGUGGCCCCCCGUCCACGUGGCCCUGACCUUGCAGCCCACCCGUGCAGCCAGUGGACUUGUCCUUCCUGUCACUACUCCAGAACAUGCUCACCCACAAGGGAAGGCUGUCCGUGGACACACAGAUGGGACUUGAGAAGGAAGUUCUGCAUCUCCCCCAGGGACACUGUCACAGGAGGAGACCAGCUGGGGACCCUCCACUGGGCGCACUGACACCACCUCAGUUCACCAGGAGCCCGCCAGGGCGGGGCAGUUGGGAGCAGCUACUUUAAUCACUGCAUUCAGACCCAGCUCCCCUCCAGUGACUGCACUGCAUUUCCAUCUUCACGCAACUUUUCUCAGUCCUCAAAGGCUUUCCCAUCAGCAAGUUUUAGGCUACCAAACUCAAAGGUUUUGAUGUUUGAUUCUGAUUUUCCCACUGGCCUGCCCGAUGCGCCCAAAUUCACACCAGCUCACACAGACACUGCCCACGGCCACAGCGACAGAUAGCUCCACCCCAGCCUCAACCCAGAGGAGCAGCGACACACGGGCUGCUUCUCCAACGCGCCUCUGCACACACCUGCUUCCCAGCCACAGGCAGAGGAAAUGAUGGGCUGAAUGUGGACUUUCUUGAGGUGCAUCCUUGGAUGCGUACCCCAAGUUUAGGGAAAAAUGCGUGUAACCACCGGAGUCCAGAUACCUACUGUUUGAAUUUUCACAUGAGUGGUAGGUUCAUUCAUGCUGCUAUCUGACUGCGGGACAGUGAAUCAAGGUGAGCGAGGUUAAAUUCAGAUGCGCUCAUAGCAGGUGUAGUGUUACUAACAACUUGUGUACUGGUCCUGCUUAGUUUUGCUAAGCAUCGUUUAAAAAGAGGAAAAGACUUGAGUUGACCAGCAAGCGAGACAGAGAUGCUCACCUUCAAACAGAAAAUCUCUCUUCAAGCAGGAAGACAAACUCUCCCAUGAAUGUCAGCAACAUUUGCAGGCAGGACUUAUUGUUUUAGGUGUGAGCAUAAAAGAGGAAACAAGGGGGGGUCCCGCUGAUUAGGGAAUGAGCUGCAGUUAUCCACAGAAAAUGGGCCCUGUGUCCGCCAGCUCAGAGAACAUCACAGGGAGAAACAUGACUCGUCACUCGGUCCCCUCAACAGACCCGGCAGCUGUGAUGAAGGAGGCCACGUUAUUACUUAAAAGGACCAGAAUUCACACUGAAUUCAUCUGCUUCCAAAACCUAUAUGAGCGAGAAAGGGCAAAGGGGUCUGCGCUUUCCUUUCCUCCAACCCUGGAGAGUGCAUAAAGUAGGUUCAGCUGCUGGGGGGCGGGGUAGGAGGAGAAGCAGAUCCACCUGUGAGAUGAGCGGGGAGCCAGGCCUGUCCACCCUCCCUGCAGCAGCAGCCCCUCACCUUCCUGGGCCUCCUGCUACUCUGAUGACAGGUAGGGAUCUUACUGCAAAAUACCCAGAGCAAGCUACAGGUGCAUUUUGGUUGGAGGCAUUCUCAGAAGGAGGUAAUGAGGAGGGUGUCUCCGUCUCACAGCUGGGUAAACUGAGGCCAUGAGCUGCCAAACCAGGGCGGAGGAGGAGCCUACUCCUCAGCCGAGCUUGACCUUGAUGGGCUGUAACCCUAGAGUGCUCUCUUCAUGGUAACUGAGCAACACCUGAGAGGAGGGGGUCAGCUACCCUUUGAACUUAUCACAGCUUAGCCACGAGGCGCUUCUCAGUAACAGCUUGGAGGAAUUAAACAGGAGGUAUGUCAAGAGAAAAGGAGUUUCUCUGGGUGUCCCGCCUUUAGGUUACCAGCACAGCUGGGCUUCGGGAGGUUUCAUUUGCUACCUCCACCUGUGUCUGGGCCGCGGCAGUUGUCACGGCUCCUUUUUGGCCUUCAUGGCCCUUGUUCUACAACAAGUACAGCAAUGUGCGCUCAGAAGGCCGAAGCUGCCGUGGGAACGGCUCAGCAGACCUGCAAGAGCCAUGCUCUGACCAGCUCCGCUCCAACCCCAGGCUCUAGGGGGCAGUGCGCCUCAGCCUGGGGCACUGGCAAGGCUGCGAGCAUCGUCCGCCCACAGCAGGGCCAGGUUAGGGAACUGACAGCUGCCCCCGGGCUCCAGUGGACUCACUGCCCGAGACCUGGUCUGCCCAC